RNAcentral lists this ribosomal RNA (447 nucleotides) under uncultured bacterium. Its description in RNAcentral is "partial 16S ribosomal RNA". It matches the Rfam family "Bacterial small subunit ribosomal RNA", at positions 29 to 507 of the family's 1533-position model. The record is from RNAcentral.
AACGAACGCUGGCGGCAUGCCUAACACAUGCAAGUCGAACGAUGCCUUCGGGCAUAGUGGCGCACGGGUGCGUAACGCGUGGGAAUCUGCCCUUGACUUCGGAAUAACAGUUAGAAAUGACUGCUAAUACCGGAUGAUGUCCCCCUGAGAGAUCUUGGGGACCAAAGAUUUAUCGGCCAGGGAUGAGCCCGCGUAGGAUUAGGUAGUUGGUGGGGUAAAGGCCUACCAAGCCGACGAUCCUUAGCUGGUCUGAGAGGAUGAUCAGCCACACUGGGACUGAGACACGGCCCAGACUCCUGCGGGAGGCAGCAGUGGGGAAUAUUGGACAAUGGGGGGAACCCUGAUCCAGCAAUGCCGCGUGAGUGAUGAAGGCCUUAGGGUUGUAAAGCUCUUUUACCAGGGAUGAUAAUGACAGUACCUGGAGAAUAAGCUCCGGCUAACUCCGUG